Magnolia sinica is the source of this 4259-nucleotide RNA transcript. It is a transcript of the gene named disease resistance protein RPP13-like, with no coding region annotated. The record is from RefSeq and is a predicted model, not a curated record. Lineage: Eukaryota; Viridiplantae; Streptophyta; Magnoliopsida; Magnoliales; Magnoliaceae. The transcript is spliced from 8 exons.
GGAUGGUCACCAUCAUCUUAUAAGUUGUGAAAAACUAUCUGCAUUUUUGUAAUUUUCUAGCAAUUGGUAAUGGUAGUUGUGAAAAACUAGUGGAAUUUGGGUCUUUUGCAAUAACAAUGAAUUAAUCAUGUGUUUAUCUACAAUCCAUAUGUUUUUUAUGUGUAUUCACAGAUGUCCUGUUAUUCUACAAAAAAAAAAAGAAGUGUAAAUUUGUUUCCUCCAUUAAGGAGAAAGAAUGUUAGCUUUGCAAGGAUAUUAUGUUGGCAUUUGUGCCGCAGAUUUCCUCGUCACAUGAAUGACCUCAAUAUCAUGUAUGUUUAGUGUAUCAUAGACUCGACAAUCAGGGAUGGCUUUCUCAGUACACAUGCCAACCUGGUAAGCGUGUCAAGCAUAUCAGCAGCAGAUAAAAGGGACCUUCUUGUGAAGAUGACCAUGUACAGAAAUCAUGCAUGACAACUAACAAGGAUCACACAUCUAUCUUCAAUUGGCACAACUGGCGAUUUUAUUCAAACAGCAGAUACUUUUUUUGUGCAAGACCACCUUAUGAGUGAACCAGCCUGAUUUUUGCAUAUGGUCAUCUUCUAUAUGAGCAUUUUCUCUCUGUGUUCCCUUUGGUGGCAGUAUUCUAAUUUCUAGCUGUUCAUAGAGAAUGUUGAUAAACCAAGAGGUUUGAAUUUUGUGAUAAGUCCAUUCUUUCAAGUUGAUAUUGAAUGAAAAUGGUGAUUUCCUGUUCAGGACGAAAAUUUAUUCGCAUUUGUAAUAUGUCUACAAUUUUACUAGCUUUCAUUCUAUUAGAACCUGACCCAAGUGGAAGUUCUAACUAUCCAACCUCUUCCAUUGUUUUUUGUUGUAUCCUCGACUGUUUAUUUGUAGUAAUUGAUCGAUGGAUUGGAAACUUCCAAUCCGAAGGUGUCCUCCAUCCACACUGAGAUCCAUUGUAUUUUUUUGGUGUGGAUUACCACCAACACCACUUUGGGUGGAAUAAGUACAUCAUGAUAGGUUUCCAUUUAAGUACUCCUAUUUUGCUGAUGAGUUGCUUUAAUAUGAAUAGUUGCACAUCAUUUUUAGGCUUUAACUAGAGAUUUAAUUGGUAAUGUCUUGAUUUUAUUAGUGAUGAUUCUUGGCGCAUUUGAGGUGAUUGAUGAGAGAGUUUACACAUGCGUCAUCAAACCACUACAUAGCUUCCCUUGUGCAAAAUUCAGGCCAUCUUCUCAAUCCGGUGUGCCAUACAUUUAUGUUAAUUGCUCACUGUCCAUUUCGUUUGCACAGUUGGCUCACCUGACUUCCAUGUGACCUGAUUCUUACACCAAGGCAUAAGUUGCAGUCUUUCUUUUAUAGGAGAAGCUACUUGACACGUGAGGCAAUUGGACGUGACAUGGAAAUGACAUGGCGAAUGAUCGCCAAUGAAAGUUAAUGCAUGAAUGAUAUGAGAUCUUUGGAUUAUAUUUUCAAAUUGUAGCAAGAGUUCUGUAAUAUUUGACUUGUGAUUAUAUUUGUGUUUGGAUGUAAUAUGCUUAUUUGAAAUGGAUGCAAUUAUUUAGAGUAUAGACUUAAAACAGGCUCCACAAUGCUUUACUGGAGAGUUUACAUGGAAAGCUGCUCAUUAGUUGUGGACCCACUGUAUAGCUUCCCUUGUGAAAAAUUCAGGCUGGUUUGGUCAUCUGGUGGGCCAUACAUCUAUAGUAAAUGCUGAACAUCCAUUUCUUUUGCACACGUUUCCCUCAUCUGAUAUAUGACUGACCUGAUUCUUGGACCAAGGCAUAAAUUUUGGGUGAGGUUUGUUGAGCCCACAUGUGCAUGGAGCAUUGCACUACCAUAUUCAUGCACAUGUGCCAACAUAGCAAAAUGGGUGGAUAUCAGAGCUUUCCAUCAGAUGAGGCAUGUUGUUGGCUAAAAAGGCAAGUUGUUUCACACCUCAAGUGGACCUUUGUACAAAACAAAUGAAUGUCUAAGAAAAAACUGUAUCCACUAUUCAUUUCUUUUGUAUAUUGUGCUCCGAUGAGGGAGCCAAACAGCCAGAGUUUUGUGCAAGAAAAUCUAAUUGCUGUUGCCUACCUAAUGGAAAACUCAGAUCUUGUAUACAUGUGCCAUUUUGGCAUGUUCAGCUGUAUGGGAGUGGGCAUGCUUACACAUGGAUGUGGGCUUGACAAACCUCUGUUUUUGGUCUACUACAUGGUAUUGAAUUGUUUUGGUUCUUCUAUAUGAUGGUUGGCUUUAAUGUAUAUUUUUUAGUUGGGGCAGUGUAAAUUUUUUAGUCCAUGGAAAUCUCAUCGAGAGCCAAAGCAUUUGGAUAUGUUUGAAGUUGAUUCGCACUUCCGCUGCCACCGUUUCUAGGACUGACUGACGCCUCACCUGCACUUGUACCUACAUGGUUUGAAGCUCAUAUUGGAUGAAAAUGGCCGUCGAUCGAAGGAUUAAGGACUUCCAGUCUACGGGCAUGCUCCAUCUACACCGAGAUCCAUCAAAUCAAGUCUGGAUUACCACCUUCACCUUUUGUAGAGAAUUGACCCAAGACAGUUUUCACACCAUGGUGCCCAUUGCUUCUGUUCUGCUCAUGGAUAAUCUACUAGGAAUGCCGAGGCGAUUGGACAUGAUGUAGAGAAUGGUCAUGAAUGAAAAUAUAUUUCCCUUUUAUGGUUUCUCUGACUUCCUCAUGCAUGAAUGGUGUGAGAGACAUGGAUAUGUUUUCAAAUUGUAGCAUUAUGAUGUGUGUAGUUUUUUUGUUUUUGGUACUAAAAUUCGGUACUUUAAUAAGUUGUUUCUGUAAUUCUUGAGUUGUAUUACUUUAUCUAUGUUUAGAUGUAAUAUACUUAUUAAGAGUGGAAGCAAUUAUUAGAGCAUAGGCUCGGGAGGUGGUCCACAAUGCUUCACCGGGGAGUUUACAUGGGUGCAUGAUCAAAUCUGUUCAUCAGGACAUUGAUCGAUAGCUUGGGAGCUUUAAUCCGAAAGAUGUUUCGAGCAUCUUCGACCUGUAAUAGUGCCUGUCAAAUAUUACUCUGGAUCCUCCAACUACAACCCCACUUGCACAGAAUGCUUGAACAACAAUGUUUCAAAGAAAUGAGAGAUUCAGUGAUGACCCACGCAUGCAAAGUGACAAGCUCGAUGUGGAGAAUGGUGUCAUGAGAGUCCAUUUCUCUUUAAUGGUUUCUUUUGUCACUUCCUUCUGUCAUAAACGGUGGUGAGAUGUUUUGAGGACUAUUUUCAAUUUGUAGCAUGAGGAUGUACCUAUCUUUCAACAUUCUAUGGUGUGCUAUUAUUCGUUGUGAUACAUAUUUUAUUUCAAUUUACACAAACAAUUUAAAUAACUUUUGAUUUAUUUUCCUGUGUGCAUGUGUACAUCUAAUAUGCUUGUUGAAGGCACAAGAAGCACUUACUUUACAAUGUAGGCCUAGCAACACUUCCUUCAAUCUUUUCCUUUUUUUAAGGUGCCAUACACUGCAUGGUCGAGAAUUUUGACAUUGUGCUGGAUUUUCUGUCUGCAUUAUUGGGGCCCAUGAUACAACAAUGUGUGGUUGAUACGAUGUUCGUAAUGUUGAUGGAAAAUGCUCCGGUAGUCCGAUACUAGAAGUUCCCAUCCAUUCUUUCCAUGCUUCCACUGUAUGUAGGCUGUUGGCACAUUUUCUUUCUUGAUUAAACUCUUUGCUGGCUACUAAGUGAAGGGGUAGGAAUUUCACAUCUCUGUGGAGAAAGACGGAUCUCACAGUACCCAAAGAAAUGCACUUCUAAAAUAGUGUAACAAAGUGACGUUGGCCCAAGAAUUGCCAACAAAAGAAAUAAGAAGAAUAAUCAAAGAAAACUUGGAGAAGAUGAAUUCAAGGACAUUAAUAGACAGAUUAACGAUGAUUCAAGCAUCUUCUAUCUUUAGUAGAGCCUAUCAAAUAUUACUCUUGAUCUCCAAACUACGGCCUCACUUGCAUGGAAUGCUCACACAACGAUGUUUCAACCGAAUGGAUAGGAAAGUCUGUGAUGACCCAUACAUGCAAAGUGACAAGAUGGAUGUGGAGAAUAGUUCCGUGGGAGUCCAACCCUUUAAUGGUUUCUUUUGACACGUCUGUUGUCAUAAAUGGUGGUGAGAUGUUUUGAGACAUAUUUUUCAAAUUGUAGCAUGAGGAUGUUUGUUGUUUUGCGACCUAUCUUUCCACCUGCUAUGAUGUGUUAUUAUUUGUUAAGACACAUUGUAUUUCAAUUACCACGAGCAGUUUAAAUAAUGUAGGAUUUAUUUUCCUGUAUGCAUGUCCACAUGUAACAUACUUGUUUGA